Microcebus murinus (gray mouse lemur) is the source of this 3350-nucleotide non-coding RNA. The record is from RefSeq and is a predicted model, not a curated record. NCBI's taxonomy places the organism in Eukaryota, Metazoa, Chordata, Mammalia, Primates, Cheirogaleidae.
UUAAUGUACUUCUAUUUCCCUAUUGUUGGAUAUUUAGAUGUUUUCCAAGUUUUAUCCACAUCUUUGUGCAUGAAGAUUUAUCGCCCCAUAUUCUGGGAUAUUUCAUUUGGAUGGCUUCCCAGAAGGUACUGAACAGGUCAAAAUGUAGAACACAUUCAUUUCCAAUCCUUCGGAUAUGUAUGGCUAUAACCAUUUUUUCAAAGUGUGUGCUGACUUACACUCCCACCUGUAGGGUGAGCGGCUCAGGCAGACAGGAUGUGAGGUCUGGGGUCCGAAGGCCUGGGCUUGUGUCCUGGCUUUGUCACCCACUGACAGGUGAUUCUGGGUAAGUAAGUUGCUUGAGCUCCCUGGGCCUCAGUUUCCUCUUAUGUAAAAUGGAAGUGAGAGCACUAGCUCAUAGCACUGUGGUAAGAAUCAAAAGAGCAAGGGUUGUGACAGCGCUCCACCGACUGUCAGACUCUGAAAUGUGAGUUCUCUGGCCGAGGGACUUGCUGUCAGGCAGGCAUGGAGCCUGCAGCACCCCCGCAGUGGAGAGGCACAGCCCCCAGGGUCAGGUGCACCACAUCCCGGGACUCAGGUCUGCAGCACCCUGAGACUCGGGCACGCUGUCCUUGGACUCAGGUGUGACACAGAGCACAGGGAAAACACCAUGUGAUGUUGGGGGCAGAGAUGAGGGUGCUACAGCUGCAGGCCCCGGACUGCUGGCCACUGCCAGGCGCUGGAAGAGGCAAUGAAGGAUUCUUUCCUGCAGGUCUAGAGGGAGCGUGGCCCUGCCAACACCUUGAUUUUGGACUUCGGGCCUCCAGAACUGUGGGAGAAUACAUUUCCGGUGUCGGGAAGGCACCUGACCGUGAGUUCCCUGCCGUGGCAGCCCCAGGAAGCUACUGCAGUAGGAUAAGGCGCAGCCUUUGGGAAGAAAUGGCAUUAUACAGAGAGAAAGGUAUUUUGGGCAAGAGUGCUAAAGCCCUUGAGGGGGGUUAGGUGGGAACUUUCCAGAGAAGGUGAGCAGCCGGAGAAGAGAGGAGGAGGCCAGGAGCGCUGAUACUGCUGACAAGGCCACGCUUGACGGGGGAAGUGCCGCGGCCGCGGCUGGUCUUGGGUCUGGCUGAGGACAAAUGCAACGUGCUGCGGGCUGGAUGUGGUUAAACCGAGGGCCGUGCAGGAAAAACAAAUAGGGCGGAGGGGCUGGUUUCAGCUGAUCACUGCAACACCUGUUUUAUCCCGGCCUGGCCAGGUCUGUGCCAAGUGGAGGGAGGUAGCUGCGUUAUUGAAAGUGAUCGUUAAAAUGGCUUUCCUGUUCCCCUCCGUGUCCCGCCCACCCCUGCUCUCCCCCACCCCCGUUGCUGGCCCCUUCACCAGCCUGUGUGUCCAGAAGAGGUGAGGGAAACGGACGCCCUUGCUGGAUAUUGACAAGAGUGCUGCCUGUGUCUUGCACACUGAGGACAUUGUUUAAGACAGUGCCACCUCUGUAAAAAUAUUGGUUCUGCAGUGUUGCCAAGAUUGCUGAGUUAUCUAUCAACCAGCACUCCUUGUGCAAACUCGGCCUGCCUCCUGACAGGUUUAAUCAGCGUGCAAGCCCUUUUAGAGAGCGCUGGCAGUGUCUGCGCGGGUGCCUUCUCUAUCUCCCUGCCUGCCACCAGCAGCCACUGGGGUGGCUGCCACGUGAAGCUGCUCUUCUGGGCCGAGCAGGGUAAUUGCAACAGGAAAAAGGGCAGGAGAACCCUUCCUCCAAUAGCCUGGGGGGACAAAUCAUCCCGAUUUUGGACUUAGCAUGUCUUUAGAGAGUGCCUUCAGCCAAGGAUUAAAAGUGUCCUCGUCACACCAGGAGACCCCUUGUCUCCCGGUGUCAGGGUGCUGAGACCCUCAUGGACGAAGGCAAGAUCGGGAACCUCAGGUACUCACUGGCCCGGAAGUGGCAUUUCCUUUGAUGUAAUCACCUUGGCAAACGAAGAGUGUUGCAAUUCCGGGGCGCUCGGCAAACCCUGCCUUCUGUUCCGGUGGAAUAAUUCUGUGCGAACACGUGGACCCACAGGUGAACUGCAUCUGAGGAUGAUACAGAUGACAUAAUUUCAGCCGCUAAUCUACUGGGGUCAGAAAAGGUUAUUUCCAAGUUCUAAAGAUAAAUAAGAAGCUUAAAACUCACCUAGACAUUAAAUGGACAUUUCUAAGUUUUUAAGCAUGGCCUGAAAAUAAUAAUAAUAAAAUGUGCUGGACUUUAAAAAGCAUCACCACUCUAGUGUGUAGAGUAUACAAAGAUGAAAAUUGGAGAGAAUUACCAUGUAAGUUUCCUCCUGCCUUUCCUCGCCCCCAGGUUUCUUAUAAAUGACUGAUUUCAUGUUAUGGAUCCACAGUCGGGAGGACAUUAAUAAACGUGUAGUUGGAACGGUGAGCUGCUCCUGACUUGCUGUGUGGCAUUGGUCGAGGCAGCUAACCUCUCUGGGCCUCAGCUUUCCCAUCUGUAAAAGAGGAAGGCUGCUUGUCCGCUGUCCUGCAGGGGGAAAGAUGCGUGCACCGGCAUGUGGGAAGGGAAAUGAGGAAAGGACUCAGAAGACGGAUGAAAAGCAGUAGAGAAUAAUAAACGGCUCCUAUUUAUUCCCCAAGCCUCAAAGUUUGGCCCCUUCUCAGGACUGAUGUUUGAAACCUGCGACAAAUCGUGUUGAUUUGGCCGGUCACUCAGAAAUAUUGAAAGCAAAUAUUAACUCGAGAUAAUGCAACACGAGCAAUGCAAAGGCCAAUUAACCUGGAAAAAGAAAAUAUCACCAUAUUUUCAAAUGAUGGCUUAUGAUUGCUUCCAGAAUUGCUCAUAAAUCCCUGUUUUGUGGCAGCAAGAACAUGCUCAAGAAAUUAAUGCUGGGGUAUCUCAGGGCAGCUUUAUAAUCAUGUCAGCUCUGCACACUGUCCCCGUUUGCUAAAACUUUUUCAUCGCUGAUAAGGUGCUUGUUAGAGAAACAGGAACUAAAUUUAUAGUCGGCUUUUGUGGAGCCAAUUUACAUGUUGUACUGCGGGAGCUCAGAACGAAAGGAAAUGUGCUCGAAGCCAAAAUUGGCUUUGUGGCUCCAGUUGUCUCAGCUCAGCGCCACCUGCCUCCAAUCAAACUGUCCAAUUACAGGAAACAAUUGUUUUCUUGCUUUCUGGGAAGUGAAGAAAUUCAUCCAGUAAAGGACUGAUUUCUAAAUGUUUCUCUUUUUCCCCCUUAAAAAGAAAAAAAAAAAAAAAAAAAAAAAAAAAAAAAGAAAACCACAACAAAUCCAAAACAUCAACAUUGUUUUGGGGGAGAAAGUGUUUCCCUAACAAAUUACUUUCAAAGUUCAAAAACCAUCCACUCGCUUUGGUGUUAUCGACACAGACAU